RNAcentral lists this ribosomal RNA (629 nucleotides) under Paratrajectura longcementglandatus. Its description in RNAcentral is "SSU rRNA". It matches the Rfam family "Eukaryotic small subunit ribosomal RNA", at positions 531 to 1167 of the family's 1831-position model. The record is from RNAcentral. Lineage: Eukaryota; Metazoa; Acanthocephala; Palaeacanthocephala; Transvenidae.
AUGUUAUCGAAUAUCUAUUGGAGGGCAAGUCUGGUGCCAGCAGCCGCGGUAACUCCAGCUCGAAGAGCGUCUGUUAAUGUUGCUGCGCUUGAAACGCUCGUCGUUGAAUCUCUGGCAAUUGCCUACGGACACCUUUAUGGUGAUACCGUAGGAAAGUGCCUGUUUGUAUCUAUUCGUCGUUGAUGCACUUAAUCGUGUGUCACGUUCGAGAGCCACUUUCACUUUGGAGAAAUCAGUGUGCUCAUCACAGGCUUAUGCCUGCAUAUAACUGCAUGGGAUGAUGAAAUUGGGCCUUUGACUCGUUUCGUUGGUUUUCGAUUGCAGAGGCCAUGAUUAAUCGGGACAGACGGGGGCAUUCGUACUGCGUCGAUAGAAGUGAAAUUCGGUGACCGCCGUAAGACGAACAAUCGCGGAAAGCAUUUGCCAAGAAUGUUUUCAUUAAUCAAGAACGAAAGUUAGAGUAUCGAAGACGAUUAGAUACCGUCCUAGUUCUAACUGUAAACGAUGCCAACCAGGGUUUCGUCACAGCUAGCAUGCUUGACGAGCACCCUCCGGGAAACCUGAGUAAUCGGGUUCCGGGGGGAGUAUGGUUGCAGAAUCGAAACUUAAAGGAAUUGACGGAAGGGCAC